UACGUAGGGUGCGAGCGUUAAUCGGAUUUACUGGGCGUAAAGCGUGCGCAGGCGGUUCGGAAAGAAAGAUGUGAAAUCCCUGGGCUCAACCUAGGAAUUGCGCUUGUGACUGGCGGGCUCGAGUACGGUAGAGGGGGGUGGAAUUCCUGGUGUAGCAGUGAAAUGCGUAGAGAUCAGGAGGAACACCGAUGGCGAAGGCAGCCCCCUGGGCCUGUACUGACGCUCAUGCACGAAAGCGUGGGGAGCAAACAGG
Molecule: ribosomal RNA, 253 nt
Filed under: uncultured microorganism
Description: partial 16S ribosomal RNA
Rfam family: Bacterial small subunit ribosomal RNA
Source: RNAcentral